This 510-nucleotide ribosomal RNA is filed under the name uncultured bacterium. RNAcentral's name for it is "partial 16S ribosomal RNA". It matches the Rfam family "Bacterial small subunit ribosomal RNA", at positions 28 to 507 of the family's 1533-position model. The record is from RNAcentral.
GACGAACGCUGGCGGCGUGCUUAACACAUGCAAGUCGAACGAAGAGCGAUGGAAGCUUGCUUCUCUCAAUCUUAGUGGCGAACGGGUGAGUAACGCGUAAUCAACCUGCCCUUCAGAGGGGGACAACAGUUGGAAACGACUGCUAAUACCGCAUACGAUCUAAUCUCGGCAUCGAGGAUAGAUGAAAGGUGGCCUCUACAUGUAAGCUAUCACUGAAGGAGGGGAUUGCGUCUGAUUAGCUAGUUGGAGGGGUAACGGCCCACCAAGGCGAUGAUCAGUAGGCGGUCUGAGAGGAUGAACCGCCACAAUGGGACUGGGACACGGCCCAGACCUCUACGGGAGGCAGCAGGGGGGAAUCUUUCGCAAUUGAAGAAAGGCUGACGGAGCAACGCCGGGGGAGGGAUGACGGCCUUCGGGUUGUAAAGCUCUGUUAAUCGGGACGAAAGGCCUUCUUGCGAAUAGUGAGAAGGAUUGACGGUACCGGAAUAGAAAGCCACGGCUAACUACGUG